CGGGGAAUUUUGGACAAUGGGCGAAAGCCUGAUCCAGCAAUGCCGCGUGUGUGAAGAAGGCCUUCGGGUUGUAAAGCACUUUUGUCCGGAAAGAAAUCCUUGGCUCUAAUACAGCCGGGGGAUGACGGUACCGGAAGAAUAAGCACCGGCUAACUACGUGCCAGCAGCCGCGGUAAUACGUAGGGUGCAAGCGUUAAUCGGAAUUACUGGGCGUAAAGCGUGCGCAGGCGGUUUGCUAAGACCGAUGUGAAAUCCCCGGGCUCAACCUGGGAACUGCAUUGGUGACUGGCAGGCUAGAGUAUGGCAGAGGGGGGUAGAAUUCCACGUGUAGCAGUGAAAUGCGUAGAGAUGUGGAGGAAUACCGAUGGCGAAGGCAGCCCCCUGGGCCAAUACUGACGCUCAUGCACGAAAGCGUGGGGAGCAAACAGGAUUAGAUACCCUGGUAGUCCACGCCCUAAACGAUGUCAACUAGUUGUUGGGGAUUCAUUUCCUUAGUAACGUAGCUAACGCGUGAAGUUGACCGCCUGGGGAGUACGGUCGCAAGAUUAAAACUCAAAUGAAUUGACGGGGUCAUAGCUGUUUCCU
Molecule: ribosomal RNA, 585 nt
Filed under: uncultured bacterium
Lineage: Bacteria
Description: partial 16S ribosomal RNA
Rfam family: Bacterial small subunit ribosomal RNA
Source: RNAcentral